GCGAAAGCGACUGCGAGUGAGCCGGAUUAGCCGGAAUGCCUGAAUAGCCAUGCCUGGUCCUCAAUUAAAUGCUACGCAAAAUGCUGAUUUGAAUCGUCUUUGAUCGAAUAUUAGAGAGCUAUGUGUGCGGAGUGGCUUGAAAUGAUAGCAACUCCCAUUGCAGUUGCUGCUGGUUGUCAUUCAUUAAAACAUUCUGCAAUGAUCACCGGUUGAUGCCUUUGGACUCGCAUUCUGUUCGUAAUUCAUUUAUGAUCCAUUAGGCUUCUGAUUUUGGCUCUCAGUUUGCGUGUUUGUUGCUGCUGCUGCUGCACUAAAGCACAAUCAUCCGGCUGGAGGCUGGAGGCUGGAGUAGCAGCAACGCUUGGAAAAGUGCAACACAGCCACGUUGGGCAUGGGGGAAAAAAUGAAAUCACGUCGCGCCAGUGCAACAAAUUCGAGUUAAUUGAAUUCCAGAGUAAGCAUAAUUCCAGGCCGGCUCUAAAAGCGAGCACAUGGGGCAUCAGUGGCAGCAGGGGCAGGCAUUUAAACUAAAUUUAGCCUGAAAUUGCUUCCUUUUUGCUGUCGGUUGUUGGCCAUUGCUGCUGCUGUUGCCUGACGUUUGCCACUUUGCCGACAACACAAAAUUCAAUUACAAUUGAAAGCAGCAACGGCAACAACAGCAAACGAAAUAAAAAGAAAACGAAAGUCGCGCUUGGCCAGCAAACUCGAAGCCGAUCAACCAGAGGCCCUGGUGAAACCGAAACUGAAGCCCUGACUGUGGACUGAACACUGAGGCUGUAGCCUCAGCUGGCCUCAAUCCGGUUUGUUAAUGUUUUCAGCACUUGCAAUUAUUUUAUGCCGCCGCCAUCAACGUUUAAAGUGUCGG
Molecule: long non-coding RNA, 865 nt
Filed under: Drosophila guanche
Lineage: Eukaryota; Metazoa; Arthropoda; Insecta; Diptera; Drosophilidae
Source: RNAcentral